UACGGAGGGUGCAAGCGUUAUCCGGAUUCACUGGGUUUAAAGGGUGCGUAGGUGGGCAGGUAAGUCAGUGGUGAAAUCCCUGAGCUUAACUCAGAAACUGCCGUUGAUACUAUCUGUCUUGAAUAUCGUGGAGGUGAGCGGAAUAUGUCAUGUAGCGGUGAAAUGCUUAGAUAUGACAUAGAACACCAAUUGCGAAGGCAGCUCGCUACACGGUUAUUGACACUGAGGCACGAAAGCGUGGGGAUCAAACAGG
This 253-nucleotide ribosomal RNA is filed under the name uncultured bacterium. RNAcentral describes it as "partial 16S ribosomal RNA". It matches the Rfam family "Bacterial small subunit ribosomal RNA", at positions 524 to 776 of the family's 1533-position model. The record is from RNAcentral.